UGGGGAAUAUUGGACAAUGGGCGGAAGCCUGAUCCAGCAACGCCGCGUGAGGGAUGACUGCCUUCGGGUUGUAAACCUCUUUCAUCAUUGACGAAGCCUGAUGUUGAGUUGGGUGACGGUAGGUGGAGAAGAAGCACCGGCCAACUACGUGCCAGCAGCCGCGGUAAUACGUAGGGUGCGAGCGUUGUCCGGAAUUAUUGGGCGUAAAGGGCUCGUAGGCGGUUUGUCGCGUCGGGAGUGAAAACACUGGGCUUAACCGAGUGCUUGCUUUCGAUACGGGCAGACUAGAGGUAUGCAGGGGAGAACGGAAUUCCUGGUGUAGCGGUGAAAUGCGCAGAUAUCAGGAGGAACACCGGUGGCGAAGGCGGUUCUCUGGGCAUUACCUGACGCUGAGGAGCGAAAGUGUGGGGAGCGAACAGG
RNAcentral lists this ribosomal RNA (420 nucleotides) under uncultured bacterium. RNAcentral's name for it is "bacterial SSU rRNA". It matches the Rfam family "Bacterial small subunit ribosomal RNA", at positions 355 to 776 of the family's 1533-position model. The record is from RNAcentral.